AGCACCCGGGGGGCGCGGGGACUGGUCCGUACUGGUCUGUACUGGGAGGACCCGUUUGUGCAAUGAGAUCCCAGCCGGGGCGCCCUACUGGUCCGUACUGGUCCAUACUGGGAGGACACAAGGCCACGUGGAUGAAGAGAUCCCAGGUGAGAUGCUGGACUGGUCCGGACUGGUCCAUACUGGGAGGACGCAAGGCCACGCGGGUGAAGAAAUCCUGGGCACGAUGCUGGACUGGUCCAUACUGGUCCGUACUGGGAGGACGCAAGGCCACGCGGGUGAAGAGUCCCCAGUUGGGUGCUGUACUGGUCCGUACUGGUUGGCGCUGGGAUGGCUCCGGCCGUGCCAAUGCAGCGAUCCUAGUUGGGAUCUCAUACUGGUCCAUACUGGUCCAUACUGGUCUGACUCCAGGCGCUGCGUGCGCAGGGCUCCCAGUUGCAUCCGAGCCCGUUUCCCAGUCCAAACUGGUCCGGCCCGGGGCGAUGAAGGCGCAGGAGUUCCCAGCUGGGCUGCUGUAGUGCUUCGUACUGGUUUAUACUGGGGUGUCCGCAGGGGAGGCACUGGGUCGUACUGGGCCAUAUUGGGCUGUACCAGGCCAUACUGGGCCAUACUGGGCCAUAUUGGGGUGUACUGGCCAUAUUGGGCUAUACUAGGCUGUACUGGGAUAUAUUGGACUGUACUGGGCCAUACUGAGCCAUACUUGGCCAUAUUGGGCCAUACUGGGCCGUACUGGGCUAUACAGGGCCACACAGGGACAUACUGUGCUAUACCGGGCUAUACUGGGCCAUAUUGGGCUGUACUGGGGCACAUUAGGCUGUACUGGGGCAUACUGGGCCAUACAGGGUCAUAUUGGGCUGUACUGGGCCAUUCUGGGCUAUAUUGGGCUGUACUGGGCCAUACUG
Molecule: long non-coding RNA, 899 nt
Filed under: Anser cygnoides (Swan goose)
Lineage: Eukaryota; Metazoa; Chordata; Aves; Anseriformes; Anatidae
Description: lncRNA (ENSACDG00005008223.1)
Source: RNAcentral